UUAUCUGUCAUCAUCAUCUUUAUUCAUUUGUGUUUAUUAAUACGUAAAUACUCCGAAUGUGAUCGAGAAUUUCAUGCAUUUCUUCAACUUCUCUGGCAUUAAUGAUGAUCCAAUUCUAGAAACAUGCUAGUAGAAUUGUUAGAAAUAAUGAUACGGGCGGUUGGUCAUGUUUAUUUUCUUUCCAAAUUCGAUAAUUAAAUGAAUGGAAUGAAUAGCAAAUCUUGACUGUUGAAAGAAGCAUAGCAGAGAUGCGGACAUUAAGAGACUUUAAGAUAUAGAUAAAACUACGAAUGACCAUAUUCGUUAGAAAAUAUAGAGAAUCUCUAGUACUUUUUAAUUUAUUUUUAUUUUGUAUGAUGUUGGCCCAAGAUGAAUUUAAAUGGAGAAAGAUGGUCAGUAGGAUUCAUAUAGCUGACUCUAGUUUGUCUGUGACUGAGGUGUUGUUGUUUUUGUUGUUGUUGCCUUUGUGUAAUAUUGGAUUGAGAUACCAUGAGUGGAGUGACAUGGAUAGCGGAGAUUCAUAGAGUCGACCCCAACUUGUUUGAGCCUGAUGCAUAGUAGUUGUUGUUGUAAAAGAAACCGGUAAUCUUGUGUAGCGUUUCAUCGUUUCUUAUUUCAUUCAGUUAUUUUCUGAUAAUCGAAAUGGCACGUUCUGCAUCAGCUACGCAGUGAUUAUUGAAUGAAAGGAACUGAAUUUUUUUAGUGUGUGUAUUUUGUAUAAGUAAUUACAUGUCUAUGUAGGGGAGGAGGAUGAUCCCUAUAGAUUUGCCGAGAAUCAAAUUCUAGGGGAUACAUGCGAAUGCAUGAAGUAUCUUAAACAUUUAUUACUUUCUGCUUUUGCAAAAUCUAUCAUCAAUUAGCAAUAUGGCAACCUUAAACUUUAGAUUGUAAAGAAAAUGUAUGCUUAUUUUUUUCAAACAUUGACAAGGUUUUUAUGCAGGUUACAUAAUCGAUUAUUAACUUCUGUUGUUUCUUAUCUACUGCUUACUCAAAUUGUCACAUACAAGGAUCUAUGAUCAUUAUGCUUUAAUAUACUAAAUUGGUGUUUUAUUCUUUGUAAAAACUGUAUCUCUAUUUUAUAGAUGAUGUUCUGAAGUUCUAAUCUGGAAUUCAGAGGUAAAUUAGAAAAAUAUGCAGGGAGAAGGAGAUGGUAGAGACAAUUCUAACAACUCCAGUAGUCCGUUUGAUAGACUUCGAGGCAUGAUGUCCCGGAUUUUUGGAAGAAAAGAUCCAUCUGAUGACUCCUCCGUGACUUUUCCCCCUGACAACUCGUCAGAGUCGUCCAUGUUAUCUCAUAGAACUCCACCAGCUGAUUCAAAGCCAGCUGAUAAAUCAAAGGGGCCGGUCAUUAUAGAGCUAGAUACGGAUGAUGAGGGAGAUGUAGGGAGAGAAGCAGAAGAGGAAAAUUGUGGUGUUAAUGGUUCCAGAAUGAGUAAAGAAAAAGCUCAAACUAAUGCUUAUAGUAACGCAAAUCUACUCGUUGAGCACCCUGAUGACCAACCUGAUGAUCAUAACAAGAGCAAAAGCAUAAGCAAAGACGUGGCUCAUAGGUUGAAAGCGAAGAAAAAUGAAGGAGCAAAAGCCCAGACUCAAGAGUGUUAGCUAUUGAAGAGUAACAUAUGGUGGGAUAAAUGGGGCAUAUUACACUGCCACUACCACACGUAGGACGGGAAGCGAUGGAGGACACUCACUCACAAGGAAGCUUGAUUCUGAGGGCAAGGUGAACUCAGUGCAGACUUUGCAUAAUAUAGAAGAAGAUGAAUUAGCUAGAUUUGAACAGACUUGGAAAGGGAAUGCUGAUAAGCAUCUGCCCGGUUGGAACAAUGGGUUUGAUCUUCAUGCAAAUGCAGGAACAAGUAAUCAUUCGUUAACGAACUGGAAUCCUGGGUUUGGAAAUCCAUUUGGAGGUCUGAGACCAAAUAGCAAUAACCAGCCGGAGCCUUCACGUGGAAGACCAAAGAAGAUUGUCACAAUCAACAUAGAGUAAAUGUCCAUGCUGAUCAUUUGCUUAGAUGCAGAAUGUUCUCCACGACAUUUCAACAGCUUGAGCCAUGUCUUAUUGCAGGAGAGAAUCAAUAGCAGUUAGUGUUACCUUUCUGGGAAGGAAAUGUGUUGUUCUCGACGCCAGUCCCCCAUUUAGGAAUUUCUUCUUGUCAUGAUAUUAUAUCAGUAGUUAUAGUUCACUAUCGACUGAGAGAGUAAUAAGGCAAUUUAGCAAAAUGUUUAGCUUUUAUCCACUGACAUUGUAAGAUCAGUGGCGGAUCCAGGAUUUUAAUUCUAUGGGUUCAGCCUUUACGAAUUCUUAGUAUUGAACUUAUUAUAUUUUUAAAGUUAU
Molecule: non-coding RNA, 2335 nt
Organism: Nicotiana tabacum (common tobacco)
Lineage: Eukaryota; Viridiplantae; Streptophyta; Magnoliopsida; Solanales; Solanaceae
Source: RefSeq, a predicted model, not a curated record